AACGAACGCUGGCGGCAGGCUUAACACAUGCAAGUCGAACGGUUGUAGCAAUACAGCAGUGGCAGACGGGUGAGUAACACGUGGGAACCUUCCUAGGGGGUACGGAACAACUCAGGGAAACUUGAGCUAAUACCGUAUACGUCCGUGAGGAGAAAGAUUUAUCGCCCUUAGACGGGCCCGCGUCGGAUUAGCUAGUUGGUGGGUAACGGCCUACCAAGGCGACGAUCCGUAGCUGAUCUUAGAGGAUGAUCAGCCACACUGGGACUGAGACACGGCCCAGACUCCUACGGAGGCGAGCAGUGGGAAUCUUGGACAAUGGGCGCAAGCCUGAUCCAGCCAUGCCGCGUGAGUGAAGAAGGGUCUUCGGAUUGUAAAGCUCUUUGUCCAGGGACGAUAAUGACGGUACCUGGAGAAUAAGCCCGGCAAACUUCGUGCCAGCAGCCG
Molecule: ribosomal RNA, 444 nt
Filed under: uncultured bacterium
Lineage: Bacteria
Description: bacterial SSU rRNA
Rfam family: Bacterial small subunit ribosomal RNA
Source: RNAcentral